UGCGUAGGCGGCCUGACAAGUUGGGUGUGAAAUCCCUCGGCUUAACCGAGGAAUUGCGCUCAAAACUGUUGGGCUUGAGGGAGUUAGAGGUGAGCGGAACUUAGGGUGGAGCGGUGAAAUGCGUUGAUAUCCUAAGGAACACCAGUGGCGAAAGCGGCUCACUGGAGCUUUUCUGACGCUGAGGCACGAAAGCUAGGGGAGCGAACG
Molecule: ribosomal RNA, 207 nt
Filed under: uncultured bacterium
Lineage: Bacteria
Description: partial 16S ribosomal RNA
Rfam family: Bacterial small subunit ribosomal RNA
Source: RNAcentral